CGCUGAUGGAUGGACCCGCGGUGCAUUAGCUAGUUGGUGAGGUAACGGCUCACCAAGGCCACGAUGCAUAGCCGACCUGAGAGGGUGAUCGGCCACAUUGGGACUGAGACACGGCCCAAACUCCUACGGGAGGCAGCAGUAGGGAAUCUUCGGCAAUGGACGAAAGUCUGACCGAGCAACGCCGCGUGAGUGAAGAAGGUUUUCGGAUCGUAAAACUCUGUUGUUAGAGAAGAACAAGGGUGAGAGUAACUGUUCACCCCUUGACGGUAUCUAACCAGAAAGCCACGGCUAACUACGUGCCAGCAGCCGCGGUAAUACGUAGGUGGCAAGCGUUGUCCGGAUUUAUUGGGCGUAAAGCGAGCGCAGGCGGUUUCUUAAGUCUGAUGUGAAAGCCCCCGGCUCAACCGGGGAGGGUCAUUGGAAACUGGGAGACUUGAGUGCAGAAGAGGAGAGUGGAAUUCCAUGUGUAGCGGUGAAAUGCGUAGAUAUAUGGAGGAACACCAGUGGCGAAGGCGGCUCUCUGGUCUGUAACUGACGCUGAGGCUCGAAAGCGUGGGGAGCAAACAGGAUUAGAUACCCUGGUAGUCCACGCCGUAAACGAUGAGUGCUAAGUGUUGGAGGGUUUCCGCCCUUCAGUGCUGCAGCUAACGCAUUAAGCACUCCGCCUGGGGAGUACGACCGCAAGGUUGAAACUCAAAGGAAUUGACGGGGGCCCGCACAAGCGGUGGAGCAUGUGGUUUAAUUCGAAGCAACGCGAAGAACCUUACCAGGUCUUGACAUCCUUUGACCACUCUAGAGAUAGAGCUUCCCCUUCGGGGGCAAAGUGACAGGUGGUGCAUGGUUGUCGUCAGCUCGUGUCGUGAGAUGUUGGGUUAAGUCCCGCAACGAGCGCAACCCUUAUUGUUAGUUGCCAUCAUUUAGUUGGGCACUCUAGCAAGACUGCCGGUGACAAACCGGAGGAAGGUGGGGAUGACGUCAAAUCAUCAUGCCCCUUAUGACCUGGGCUACACACGUGCUACAAUGGGAAGUACAACGAGUCGCGAAGUCGCGAGGCUAAGCUAAUCUCUUAAAGCUUCUCUCAGUUCGGAUUGUAGGCUGCAACUCGCCUACAUGAAGCCGGAAUCGCUAGUAAUCGCGGAUCAGCACGCCGCGGUGAAUACGUUCCCGGGCCUUGUACACACCGCCCGUCACACCACGAGAGUUUGUAACACCCGAAGUCGGUGAGGUAACCUUUUUGGAGCCAGCCGCCUAAGGUGGGAUAGAUGAUUGGGGUGAAGUCGUAACAAGGUAGCCGUAUCGGAAGGUGCGGCUGGAUCACCUCCUUUCU
RNAcentral lists this ribosomal RNA (1327 nucleotides) under Enterococcus mundtii. Its description in RNAcentral is "bacterial SSU rRNA". It matches the Rfam family "Bacterial small subunit ribosomal RNA", at positions 216 to 1533 of the family's 1533-position model. The record is from RNAcentral. Lineage: Bacteria; Bacillati; Bacillota; Bacilli; Lactobacillales; Enterococcaceae.